This 484-nucleotide ribosomal RNA is filed under the name uncultured bacterium. Its description in RNAcentral is "partial 16S ribosomal RNA". It matches the Rfam family "Bacterial small subunit ribosomal RNA", at positions 30 to 507 of the family's 1533-position model. The record is from RNAcentral.
AUUGAACGCUGGCGGCAGGCCUAACACAUGCAAGUCGAGCGGAUGAAGGGAGCUUGCUCCUGGAUUCAGCGGCGGACGGGUGAGUAAUGCCUAGGAAUCUGCCUGGUAGUGGGGGAUAACGUCCGGAAACGGGCGCUAAUAUCGCAUACGUCCUGAGGGAGAAAGCGGGGGAUCUUCGGACCUCACGCUAUCAGAUGAGCCUAGGUCGGAUUAGCUAGUUGGUGGGGUAAAGGCCUACCAAGGCGACGAUCCGUAACUGGUCUGAGAGGAUGAUCAGUCACACUGGAACUGAGACACGGUCCAGACUCCUACGGGAGGCAGCAGUGGGGAAUAUUGGACAAUGGGCGAAAGCCUGAUCCAGCCAUGCCGCGUGUGUGAAGAAGGUCUUCGGAUUGUAAAGCACUUUAAGUUGGGAGGAAGGGCAGUAAGUUAAUACCUUGCUGUUUUGACGUUACCAACAGAAUAAGCACCGGCUAACUUCGUG